Pseudopipra pipra is the source of this 475-nucleotide long non-coding RNA. RefSeq lists it as uncharacterized. The record is from RefSeq and is a predicted model, not a curated record. The transcript is spliced from 3 exons. Lineage: Eukaryota; Metazoa; Chordata; Aves; Passeriformes; Pipridae.
GGAGCCGGAGCGGCCUCUCCAGCCACGCUGGGCUGGCGAGGAUCCAGGCAGCCUCUCAGGAGAACGCUCAGAAAAUAUUAGCUGUGCAGGGGGAUAUCUGGGAUGAUUUCUGUGCUCUCCUGUGUUCGAUUAAACCAAUAGUGAGUAGAUGAACAGGAUGACCUAAGUGGAGCUCAGAGCUCAUGAAGAACAAUAGCAGUGAUGCAGAAGCCACAGGUGGCAGUUGGUUUCCUCGCACACAAAUCUCUACAUUAAUCUAAUGUUGUGCAAUAUUUUAAUAGCUGUACUGCAAACCUCAUAUGCAAUUGAACUCCCCUGUCAACAACUAGUCCAUGUGACAAUGAGGGGAGUUGUCAAAAGCAAUCCAGCACAUCACUGCUUUCUUGCACUCUUUGACAGAUGGCUUGCCGACUACAGACAACAAUGCAAACAACCAGUGUAUCUUGGAUGCUGAAAUAAAAGACAAGAAAAGUCA